CGCAUUAUGGGUUUCUGGAUGAAGCAGCUGGCCGCGGUCAUUGCGGCUUCGUAGGCCUACGAGGUCACCAUAGGGUGACCGGCCGUACAGUGGCGAAAGUGGCUUGCCGUGCAUAACGUGCACCACGGAGAAUGGUAGUGUGCACACCGCAGUCUGAAGGAAAGGCGGCAACGGCGUGUGUGCAUAUGUGGAAGCGUUAUGUGGGUGGGUGGAAGCCAGCAGUGGGGAUAUGGACAGCUUGUUCAGGCAGCCGGACGCACAUCACAAAUGUUUACACACACGUUGAUGAGGGGAAAAUGUAUGGCGCCUCGGCACUGUGGACGACACGAAGUUUGUAGAACCGCGGUGCACUGUAGGGUUGUAGGGAUUUAGGCAGGUCUUUAGGCACCAAAACAAGCGGGCGGCUGUGGUGAAUGCAAAUCUUUGAUACCAGUUUUUCCUUUCAGGCGUGCAACACACGCUGCACGAGGGCGCUGCGAAACACACCUGACGCGUCAGCAACAUGCAGCAACCGUUGUGCGUCUUGAUAACAGUGCACUGCUAUCAUCAGCCUGCCGCGCCGACCGAAGCUGCAUGUGCCCAGGGUUAAUGGCGCUUGGUGAUUAUACAAGGAACCGCGCGACCUUUCAGCGCUCCUGCACCACCCUUGCCGGCAAUGCAGUGCACGUUGCCUAUGCCCGCUGCUUAUGAAGGCUGCUCUCAGCAAGCCAAGCAAGCGAAUAUUCUAUUCUCCAUUGAAAGUUUCCUUUUUUAACAUUGCCGCUUUCUUCCCGUGUCGCCGCGAGCUAUCCUUCAUUAUAAAAGAUAGCACCAAUAUUAUAUUGGUGCAUACCUUUUUUAAUAAUAUAAUAUUAUAUACCUUUUUAAUAUAGUAUUAUAUUAUAUACCUUUU
Molecule: long non-coding RNA, 892 nt
Filed under: Volvox carteri
Lineage: Eukaryota; Viridiplantae; Chlorophyta; Chlorophyceae; Chlamydomonadales; Volvocaceae
Description: long non-coding RNA (VCAR_LNC003074)
Source: RNAcentral